This 213-nucleotide ribosomal RNA is filed under the name Salmonella enterica subsp. enterica serovar Infantis. Its description in RNAcentral is "partial 23S ribosomal RNA". It matches the Rfam family "Bacterial large subunit ribosomal RNA", at positions 425 to 635 of the family's 2925-position model. Lineage: Bacteria; Pseudomonadati; Pseudomonadota; Gammaproteobacteria; Enterobacterales; Enterobacteriaceae. The record is from RNAcentral.
CGUGGUAUCCUGUCUGAAUAUGGGGGGACCAUCCUCCAAGGCUAAAUACUCCUGACUGACCGAUAGUGAACCAGUACCGUGAGGGAAAGGCGAAAAGAACCCCGGCGAGGGGAGUGAAAAAAGAACCUGAAACCGUGUACGUACAAGCAGUGGGAGCACAGGUUUACCUGUGUGAUGCGUACCUUUUGUAUAAUGGGUCAGCGACUUAUAUUC